AGUCGAGCGAACCGACGGGAGCUUGCUCCCUUAGGUUAGCGGCGGACGGGUGAGUAACACGUGGGUAACCUGCCUGUAAGACUGGGAUAACUCCGGGAAACCGGGGCUAAUACCGGAUGCUUGAUUGAACCGCAUGGUUCAAUCAUAAAAGGCGGCUUCGGCUGCCGUUUACAGAUGGACCCGCGGCGCAUUAGCUAGUUGGUGAGGUAACGGCUCACCAAGGCGACGAUGCGUAGCCGACCUGAGAGGGUGAUCGGCCACACUGGGACUGAGACACGGCCCAGACUCCUACGGGAGGCAGCAGUAGGGAAUCUUCCGCAAUGGACGAAAGUCUGACGGAGCAACGCCGCGUGAGUGAUGAAGGUUUUCGGAUCGUAAAGCUCUGUUGUUAGGGAAGAACAAGUACCGUUCGAAUAGGGCGGUACCUUGACGGUACCUAACCAGAAAGCCACGGCUAACUACGUGCCAGCAGCCGCGGUAAUACGUACGUGGCAAGCGUUGUCCGGAAUUAUUGUGCGUAAAGCGCGCGCAGGCGGUUUCUUAAGUCUGAUGUGAAAGCCCCGCGGCUCAACCGGGGAGGGUCAUUGGAAACUGGGGAACUUGAGUGCAUAAGAGGAGAGU
Molecule: ribosomal RNA, 621 nt
Filed under: Bacillus sp. (in: firmicutes)
Lineage: Bacteria; Bacillati; Bacillota; Bacilli; Caryophanales; Bacillaceae
Description: bacterial SSU rRNA
Rfam family: Bacterial small subunit ribosomal RNA
Source: RNAcentral